AUGUCCGAGGAAUCUCUUGUGCAUGUUGUCUCUAGUGAGGAGGACGGAAGAGAAAGGAAAAGGAAAAAGAACAAGAGGCCAAGAGCCAAUGGUCCCGUUAGGAUGUCGUCCAAUGUUUGGGCCCAUUUUCACAAGGUCAAGGAGCUAGAAUAUAAGAAGACUGGGGAGAUUGUGUUGAAGGUUGUUUGUAAUUAUUGUAUCGAUAAGAAGUAUGCGUAUACGCAAGGUGGCAGCACCUCAACUAUUGGAAGGCAUCAUUUAAAAUAUAAGAAUUACAAGUCCAAGAUGGCUAGGGAUGCCAUCCAAACAACGUUGGAAUUGCGCAAAAUCAAUGGUACAACAAGUGGUCCAACAAUGCACCCCUCUAUUGAAGACCAAGGAAUUUUCAAGGAGCUUAUUGCUAAGAUGAUAUGUGUGCAUGAGUAUUCAUUUAGAAUGGUUGAACAUGAGUAGUUCAACAUUCUAAUGAAGUGCAUGAAUCCAAAUUAUAAACCCAUUGGAAGGAAGACAAUACAAGCCGAGUGCAUGAGGGUCUACAAGAAAGAAAAAGAGGUGCUUAAAUCUGUAAAGGGUGUGAGCUCCAUAUGUCUAACUAUAGAUUUGUGGACAAACAACCAAACCUUAUCUUACAUGUGUGUGGUUGCACACUAUAUAGAUGGGAAUUGGAAUAUGCAAACCUGUGUCCUUGCUUUCAUAGAGUUACACCUGGAUUGUGAAACAAGGUGGAGCUCAACCUAUAAGAUGAUUAGCAAUGUCCGUGAUUGUAAGGAAGCCUUGACCUCUCUUGCUAGUUCCAAUGCCAACUAUGCUUGGGCGCCGACAAACGCAGAGUGGGACAUGUAUGACCUUAUCUCUCCAUUACUUGAGAGUUUGGCUGAGGUGACAAACGCAUUUUCAGGAAGUUUAUAG
This 909-nucleotide ribosomal RNA is filed under the name Triticum aestivum (bread wheat). RNAcentral describes it as "partial small subunit ribosomal RNA". The record is from RNAcentral. Lineage: Eukaryota; Viridiplantae; Streptophyta; Magnoliopsida; Poales; Poaceae.